GAUGAACGCUAGCUAUAGGCUUAACACAUGCAAGUCGGGGGGAAACGGCAUUAUGUGCUUGCACAUUUUGGACGUCGACCGGCGCACGGGUGAGUAUCGCGUAUCCAACCUUCCCUCCACUCGGGGAUACCCCGUUGAAAGACGGCCUAAUACCCGAUGUUGUCCACAUAUGGCAUCUGACGUGGACCAAAGAUUCAUCGGUGGAGGAUGGGGAUGCGUCUGAUUAGCUUGUUGGUGCUGGUAACGGCCCACCAAGGCUACGAUCAGUAGGGGUUCUGAGAGGAAGGUCCCCCACAUUGGAACUGAGACACGGUCCAAACUCCUACGGGAGGCAGCAGUGAGGAAUAUUGGUCAAUGGACGGAAGUCUGAACCAGCCAAGUAGCGGCGGAUUGACGGCCCUAUGGGUUGUAAACUGCUUUUGUUGGGGAGUAAAGUGAGGCACGCGUGCCUUUUUGCAUUUACCCUUCGAAUAAGGACCGGCUAAUUCCGUGCCAGCAGCCGCGGUAAUACGGAAGGUCCAGGCGUUAUCCGGAUUUAUUGGGUUUAAAGGGAGUGUAGGCGGUCUGUUAAGCGUGUUGUGAAAUUUAGGUGCUCAACAUCUACCUUGCAGCGCGAACUGGCGGACUUGAGUGCACGCAACGUAUGCGGAAUUCAUGGUGUAGCGGUGAAAUGCUUAGAUAUCAUGACGAACUCCGAUUGCGAAGGCAGCGUACGGGAGUGUUACUGACGCUUAAGCUCGAAGGUGCGGGUAUCGAACAGGAUUAGAUACCCUGGUAGUCCGCACGGUAAACGAUGGAUGCCCGCUGUUAGCGCCUGGCGUUAGCGGCUAAGCGAAAGCAUUAAGCAUCCCACCUGGGGAGUACGCCGGCAACGGCGAAACUCAAAGGAAUUGACGGGGGCCCGCACAAGCGGAGGAACAUGUGGUUUAAUUCGAUGAUACGCGAGGAACCUUACCCGGGCUUGAAUUGCAGACGCAGGAUACAGAGA
Molecule: ribosomal RNA, 988 nt
Filed under: Prevotella intermedia
Lineage: Bacteria; Pseudomonadati; Bacteroidota; Bacteroidia; Bacteroidales; Prevotellaceae
Description: bacterial SSU rRNA
Rfam family: Bacterial small subunit ribosomal RNA
Source: RNAcentral